CCCUUAGAUGUUCGGGGCUGCACAUGCGCUGCACUGAAGGAAUCAACGUGUAUUUGCCCUUGCCCGAAAGGGUUGGGUAACCCGUUGAACCUCCUUCGUGCUAGGGAUUGGGGCUUGUAAUUAUUCCCCAUGAACGAGGAAUUCCCAGUAAGCGCGAGUCAUAAGCUCGCGUUGAUUACGUCCCUGCCCUUUGUACGCACCGCCCGUCGCUACUACCGAUUGAAUGGUUUAGUGAGAUCCUCGGAUUGGUCCCGCCACGGGAGGAAACUUUCGAGGCGGAGUGCCGAGAAGACGAUCAAACUUGAUCAUUUAGAGGAAGUAAAAGUCGUAACA
This 333-nucleotide ribosomal RNA is filed under the name uncultured eukaryote. RNAcentral's name for it is "partial 18S ribosomal RNA". It matches the Rfam family "Eukaryotic small subunit ribosomal RNA", at positions 1470 to 1796 of the family's 1831-position model. The record is from RNAcentral.